This 70-nucleotide small nuclear RNA is filed under the name Chinchilla lanigera (long-tailed chinchilla). Lineage: Eukaryota; Metazoa; Chordata; Mammalia; Rodentia; Chinchillidae. The record is from RNAcentral.
GUGCUCACUUUGGCAGCACAUAUACUAAAAUUGGAACGAUAUAGAGAAGAUUAGUAUGGCCCCUGCACAA